CCUAUUGGAGUAUGGACCAACACUGUAACUAUGACAGAUCUGCCACUGCAAUCUGGUCAUGAAUGCGAUUUCCAAACAAAGGAAGGGACAGAGCAUGAACAGGGGAGGAACAGAGAG
Long non-coding RNA from Suricata suricatta (meerkat), 117 nucleotides. RefSeq lists it as uncharacterized. The record is from RefSeq and is a predicted model, not a curated record. Lineage: Eukaryota; Metazoa; Chordata; Mammalia; Carnivora; Herpestidae. The transcript is spliced from 3 exons.